Perognathus longimembris pacificus (Pacific pocket mouse) is the source of this 555-nucleotide long non-coding RNA. RefSeq lists it as uncharacterized. The record is from RefSeq and is a predicted model, not a curated record. Lineage: Eukaryota; Metazoa; Chordata; Mammalia; Rodentia; Heteromyidae. The transcript is spliced from 3 exons.
UUAUCACAGAAAAUUGUAAAAAUUUGAAUGUAAUUAAGGUUAGUGAUUUCAGGACGUACAAACUUGCAGGUACCUGAUGAGUAGGAAUAGAAAACUCUCAGUAUGAGCUUUGGACUGAUUUUGUUUUAGUCUAUGUAGGCUGUGAUAAUCUGGAUCCCUUAUGAACAAUGGAAUUAUUCGUAGCUCUCACAGUGCUAAAAGCUGUCCCUUGAGGUUAAGGGCACUAGAGACUGAAGGUCUGGUGUGUACUCUAAUUCUGCUUUCUGAUGUGUGGACAGGAUAGGCCUCUCUUUGGACCUCUUUUAUGUGUCUCUCAUUCCAUUCAUGAAGGCUCUGCCCUUCAGAUCUAAUAAUUUCAAAGAAGUUCCCACUUACAAAUACCAUAGUUUUAGUGAUCACAUGUUAACUUGUGGGAACAAAAAAUCAGAUCAGAUUUUAACAGUAGAUUUGCUUAGGCAAAUGGGUGCUGGCUAAUAGCUGUUUAUAUCUCUAAGGUUUGGUUUAGUCUGAUGAAAGAUAAUCAAGCUCUCUCUAGGAUUAACACAUCUUUAAAAG